RNAcentral lists this ribosomal RNA (440 nucleotides) under uncultured bacterium. RNAcentral describes it as "partial 16S ribosomal RNA". It matches the Rfam family "Bacterial small subunit ribosomal RNA", at positions 339 to 795 of the family's 1533-position model. The record is from RNAcentral.
CUACGGGAUGCAGCCGUGAGGAAUAUUGCACAAUGGGGGGAACCCUGAUGCAGCAACGCCGCGUGGAGGAUGACGCACUUCGGUGUGUAAACUCCUUUUAUAUGUCAAGAAAAUGACGGUAGCAUAUGAAUAAGCACCGGCUAGACUCCGUGCCAGCAGCCGCGGUAAUACGGAGGGUGCAAGCGUUACUCGGAAUCACUGGGCGUAAAGGACGCGUAGGCGGGUUGGAAAGUCAGGUGUGAAAUCCUACAGCUUAACUGUAGAACUGCACUUGAAACUUGUAAUCUAGAGUAUGGGAGGGGGAGAUGGAAUUAGUGGUGUAGGGGUAAAAUCCGUAGAUAUCACUAGGAAUACCUAAAGCGAAGGCGAUCUCCUGGAACAUUACUGACGCUAAGGCGUGAAAGCGUGGGGAGCAAACAGGAUUAGAUACCCCCGUAGUC